Fukomys damarensis (Damara mole-rat) is the source of this 619-nucleotide long non-coding RNA. RefSeq lists it as uncharacterized. The transcript has 4 exons. The record is from RefSeq and is a predicted model, not a curated record. NCBI's taxonomy places the organism in Eukaryota, Metazoa, Chordata, Mammalia, Rodentia, Bathyergidae.
GCCAAGGCCCAGCAGUGGCCCAGUUAAUGGGGGCCGCCAGCCGACAGCUGUAGGCAACUCCCUCCUGAUGGCUGGGACCCCAGCCCCUGCCCAGUGGGUGCAGGGUGAAGCCCGCCUCUUCUCUCAGACUGGUGAUUUUGGUGAAACGCAGACGUGUGACUUCUUGGGGAGGAAACACUGGUUCUUUGCACGCUUGCCUCUCGCGUGUCCACAGGCAGCUCGUUCGCAGGAGAGCCAAACACAGCAGCCUCGAAGAACAAGAAAACCAGAGCUCGGCGCUGACUUCUCAAUUCUGAGCUAUACAUCGCUGCACCCAGCCUGAAAUCACUCCUCCUGUGUGAGGCUGCCGGCUCUGGUCACUUCCCACCAAUGGAACCGUGUGACAGCACCCUGCGUCUGUCCUCUGGCAUCGGGCCGUUGACUGUGAUGCCUCCACAGUGUGCCUCUCUUUCCUGUGGUGGAGCUGUAUACAGAUGAGGCCCAAGGCAUUUCCUGUAUCCUUGCUUAUAACAGCAAACCUGGGAACAGGCUUAAGGGUGCAUUUACGUAAACUGGAUGGAACACUACACCGCUGUGAGCAAGGAGGAGGGCGCAUGCUGCACAGAUCGGGAAAGAGCAC